GGGUAGCCUCUGGAAACGGAGAAUAAUACCCUAUGAAAUUACAUUCUCGCAUGAGGAAAUAAUCAAAAUGUUUAGUGGUGUAGGAUGGACUUGCGUCUGAUUAGCUAGUUGGUGAGAUAAAAGCUCACCAAGGCAACAUCAGUAGCCGGCUUGAGAGAGUGUACGGCCACAUUGGGACUGAGACACGCCCAG
This 192-nucleotide ribosomal RNA is filed under the name uncultured Eubacteriales bacterium. Its description in RNAcentral is "uncultured Clostridiales bacterium partial 16S ribosomal RNA". It matches the Rfam family "Bacterial small subunit ribosomal RNA", at positions 141 to 334 of the family's 1533-position model. Lineage: Bacteria; Bacillati; Bacillota; Clostridia; Eubacteriales. The record is from RNAcentral.